GGUUGAUCCUGCCAGUAACAUAUGCUUGUCUCAAAGACUAAGCCAUGCAUGUCUAAGUAUAAACGACUUUAUACUGUGAAACUGCGUACAGCUCAUUAUAUCAGCAAUUAUUUAUUUGAUGGUUCCUUACUACAUGGAUAACCGUGGUAAUUCUAGAGCUAAUACAUGCGCAAAGUCCCGACUCUCGCGGGGAGGGAUGUAUUUAUUAGAUUCAAAACCAAUGCGGGCUCUGCCCGGUAUUGUGGUGAUUCAUAAUAACUGAUCGAAUCGCAUGGCUUCACGCUGGCGAUAGU
RNAcentral lists this ribosomal RNA (293 nucleotides) under uncultured eukaryote. RNAcentral describes it as "partial 18S ribosomal RNA". It matches the Rfam family "Eukaryotic small subunit ribosomal RNA", at positions 6 to 294 of the family's 1831-position model. The record is from RNAcentral.